CUGAGGCAGAGAGAAACUGCCAGCCACCACCAUGACAAGCUGCAUGUGAAGACACCGGAAGCCAGUGCAUCCUGUCUUUGCUUUUUGAGCACUCACGUAGUUGGCAUGCAGCACGGUGAAGAACUCUGGAUUGGUGAUGAACUUGACUGCUGGGGACUGUAGCAGCAAGAGAAAAGAACCGCACUAGUACACUACCCUUGAACACGACAUGAAGAUCAGGUUGAAAGUACCUGCAUGGAUGGAGGAUGUGAUCUCAAAUCGGAAUUGCAGCUGUCCACUCACAUGAUCAGUUGGAAGCCUGCGGCCAAGUGUGUAGCUGACCACCCUAUCCCUAGAAGGAAAUAAGCACCAUCACAGAUUUUGUAAUGAACUAUCCUGCUAAAGACCACAGUGUGCUUUCUAAACCAGCUGGUGGGACAGGCAAGCUCAGAGAAACCACUGUAACAGGAAGUGAAGGUCUCUCUGGGGACAUACGGUACCACCUUAAGGUACAUAUGUUGGGUCAAGUACAAGGAAAUUCUUAUCAAAUAUUCUAACUCAAGGGUCAGGAAACGACACCUCAUAUCUAGUCAUCACUUUUUUUAUUUUGGUAUGGCCAUGAGCUUUAUUUUUAAAUAUUUUUGGGAAAACUCUUAAAGAAAAGUAAAUUACGUGAAAUUCUAAUUUAAGUGUCCAUCAACACUCAUGAGCUUACACAUUGCCUAUGGCUAUUUUCUGUCAUAGUGGAAGAGCUGAACAGCUUAGACAGAGACUGUGUGACCUGUAAAUCUUAAACUAUUACUCCCUUCACAGACUAAGUUUGAUAAUAUGUGUUAUAUAGAAGGCGAAGGGACAAAAAUUGUAAAUGUCUUUGCUUGAUCUUCCUGUGGACAUUGUCAUUUCCAAAUAUGCCCCUGGCAAUGGAUAUGCCAAAAUAUGUUGGGAGGAAUAUAUGUAAUGUAUAAAAAUAGAUGCCAUGAUAGUUACUAGAGAACCUGUGCUGAGCUAUGGAAAGCUACAGGAUGGAGCAAAAACAAGACGUGUUCACUGACCUUGAUUUCCAGAUGCACCAAGAAUAGAGACACUUAUUGACUAUCUGGACUCUGGUGCCACACCCAUUCAAAGUACCUUUUUAAAUUACUGAAAAUAAUCUAUCCAGGGAAGAAUCAAUUUGAAGUUGUAA
Molecule: non-coding RNA, 1162 nt
Organism: Peromyscus maniculatus bairdii (prairie deer mouse)
Lineage: Eukaryota; Metazoa; Chordata; Mammalia; Rodentia; Cricetidae
Source: RefSeq, a predicted model, not a curated record